CAUCAGAACUGGGUUACAGGGGAAAGGAGAGUAUAGUUGCUCAAUCCAGCCAAAUUGGAGGAGUAUCUGGGACCAAAGUAGUGCUGCAUGCAACUGAGAAAGAUGGAAAAUCCAAGAUGGAGAGGGAAGCGACUCAUCAAGCUGCACAAUGAGUUAUCUGCAGAGCCAGGAGUAGAGGCCAGAGUCCUGACUGCCAAACCCAACUGUCACAAACUAAAAAAAAAAACAACGAGGAACCCACUUCAUCGGGUUCUAGCCCACGGAAGCUUAUGCCCAAAUAAAUUUGUUAGUCUCUAAGGUGCCACAAGGACUCCUCAUUGUUUUUGCUGAUGCAGACUAGCACGGCUACCACUCUGAAACUACACAAACUGCAUCUCUUGAUUCUUGCUUUUCUUGUUCUGAAGCCAACAAUCUGCACGGUGACCUGGGAUCCCACACAGGCCUGGCUGGGCAGAUUAGAAUCCAUUCAGACCCCACUGUCUCUCGUAUACCUCAUCACACGAGAUGAUGCAACAAUGCUGUGAUGUUAACUGCUCAUCCCUGACAUACUUCACCAAAGGAGAAGAUGCCACAGUACCUGGAUGUUAUCAUCUCCUGCCUAGUCACUGCCCAGCAGCCCCACAGAUGAGCAGAGAAAGGUGAGCUUGGAGAAGCCAGUAUAAGUUCACUCAAUAACCCACUGGAGUCUGAAAGGACAGGGAUAUGGAGAAAGACUGGAGGGACUGCAGAGAGAGGGUGAAAUGACAAGAGACUAGAGUACAGGGCGGUGCCAUGUGCAGUAGAGAGAAAACAAGUGAUUGCCCAGGAAGAGGAAGAGGGGUGGGAAGAGAAUCCCUGGAGGAGAAGCUGUGAGACACUGUGUGAAAGACGACAGAGAAUCAUAAUGGAUCAUGCUGAAGUGAAAAAGGAAAAGAACUACUGCAAGGGAUCACACUGAGGAGGAAGAGAAGAGACAGCAAGAAAUUGCACAGGGGAGGAGGACAGAGCAUGAGAGAAUGCACUGAGGAGGAGGAGGAAGGACCGUGAGAGAUUGUGUCGAGAAGGAGGAGAAACCACAAGGGAUCACACUGAGGAGGAAAAGAGGGACCACAAGAGAUCGUGCAGAGGAGUAGGAGGAGGCAGCACUGCUGCUCAGAAGAAGAGGGAUGAGCAUGAAGAUACCACCUGAGGGAACAGUGAGCAGCAACCACCUCACAGUUGCAUUCAUUCACAUCAACAGAUGAGUAUUGGAAACAUGUCAGCCUUCAAUGGGACUACUCUCAGUGCAUUUCCACUGCACCCUUCUUUCAAUGGGGUGUAGUGUAGACACACAAGCAGUCCCCCUAGUACAGAUAAAAACAGCAUGGAGGAAGGUGAGGCAUGAAUAGGUGAGUAAAUACACACUGGAGGAUAUGGGUAUGUACUUAAGCACAUAACCUACCUGGAUUUCUACUUACCCAAGCUGUGCAUCCCCAUCUAUGCUGCUAUUUUUAGCAGUGUAAUGGUCCUGCCACCUCCCCACUGCUGAAGUCUUUCCCUACCACAGGAAAAGUCUCCAGCAGCAGGGAAAGUCUCUGGCAGUGGGGAAAAGGCACUGGAGCCUUUCCCCCAUUGCCUCUCCUCUGCCAGAGCCUUUCACUGACAUGUGUAGCUGUACACAGCAGUGUGGACCCAGCCUGCUUUCCACGCAGUAUGUAGCUACACAUACACUACAUACGUUCUGAGGUAUUGUGUAAAUUUAUUUUUAAAAGGUAGUCUUUGGUAUAACCCAACCAUCCAGACAUUUACUUCAUAUGUUUGUAACUGCACAGUUAACGCCAUUUAUAAAAUCAUCUCAGCCUGUGCCAAAUGCAGGUAAUAAAAAAGGACUAGUCAAGAUACAAGUAAUGAUUUUAAAAUAGUGUUGCUGCCACUGCCUUAUAGGAAACUAAUUUUUUUGAGUUUACUAAACUGUAAGGAUUAUUUAUAUGGUAUAGAAAAAUUAUCAGAUAGGGAAUAAUAGUGAGAAUAUUAUAAUAUCAUCAUAAAUCUACGUAUGCCCUCAUAUUGAAUACGGUCUUCAGUUCUUGUCACCACCUCAUCCUAAAAGAUAUAUAUAGCAGAAGAAGAAAAGGUUGAGAGAUAUAUGACCAAAGCGGUAUGGAAAGACUUGAGGAAAGAUUGUAAAGACUAAAGACUAAGACUGAAAAGAGGUGAAAUCUUUGCCCCAUUGAAGUCAAUGACAAAACUCCUAUUGACUUCCACUGAGCCAGUAUUUCACCUUAAGACUCUUUAGAAAGGAUCUGCAUAAGAGGGGAGAGGAUAGAGGAUUACAAACUAAAGAAUGGUAUAUAUGUCAGUGAGGUGCUUGUAUUUGCCCACUCUAACAAUUCAAGUACAAGGGGGCAUCCAUGAAAGCAAAAGGCAACCAAUUUAAAUCUGAUCCAAGGAAAUACUUUUUUUUAAGAUCAUGAAUAGUUAACCUGUGGAACUUACUGCCACAAGAUAACAUUCAUACCAAGAGCUGAGUAUGAUUCCAAAAAAGAUUAUUCAUUACAUUAAAUAGGGCCUGACAUUGUUAUAAAGGAUAUAAAUCCUCACGUUUCAGAGUGUAAUACCAACACACUUGGUGGGGAUUAAGAAGAAGGUCCUUCUAUGGGCUGGUUAAUUCAUAAUUGUUCACUUUGUGAAUCUUUGCACCUUGUUCAGAAGCAUGUGAUAGUGAAUAGUAUAUAAGACAGGCUACUGCACUAGAUGGCUCACUGGUCUAAUCUGGUAUUUAUUUAAUUAUUAAAUAAAUACUAGUAAUAACUCUUACCCAUUAACAAGUGUUAAACCUGCCCUGUCUACACUAGGGUUUUAAUAUGUGUUGGCUCACAAGUUUUAAAAACACAUCUUUCCUCCUUGUCUAGACAAGUGCUUAGUGAGCGGUUUUUGUAAGGAUACUUUAUGCUGCUUUGGAUACUUUCAUUGGUGCUAGGACCUUCCUGUCACUUGAAAUAAUCUGGGUUUGGCAGAGAUGGGCCACAUGCAGGCCCAUCUCUAGUUUUGAUCUUAUUUGUGGGCAGCCUCCAACUGCCUCCUGGCAAAAGCGCUUGAAAAUAAAGAACAUAUAUUGGUAAUUACUUCAUUUACUGUUUACAAUUGGCUCAGCCUAAACUGUGAAACUAGACUGGUCCAUUUCCCUUUCUGUUUGGAGGCACUUUCUCUUUUUGGCUCUUAUACACGGGUACAGUACAGUCAUGUUUGGAUUUCCAACUCUUAAAUAGUAAGCCAACAGGCUUAAAUAAUAAGACAUCUCCACUGCAGUUUUAAUUUUUAAACCAUUAGAGAGAACAUUUAUAUCAUAAGAGGUGUGGAACUCACCUCCCUUUAUUAAAAAAUAAAAAAAAUCAACUACAUUUCUGCUUGUACUUCUUGUCUGUGUCCUUUUAACACCACUCAACAGCUGUUAAAUUGGAUAAUCUCCAGUUAUCCUCAUGUCACUAAUUCAAAUGCUAAUUGCUCUCACUGCACCAGAGUUUAUUCAUCCACUCCAGGGCCGCCAGGUAUGCUCUGUAUGAGAAGGACAUUAAAGUAACUAAGCUCCCUCCUGGGAUUCUGGAAGCAUUUAAAGAAAUAGUUCCAGAUUAAUUUGGAAAGGAGAUAGUGGAUAGAAAUAAAGGAAAAUAAGAUGGGGAAGAAGCCAGUGUGGAGCACUUGCGUGUUUUGAUGUGUCAAAAGUGAUCCAUUUAUCACUCUGGUUUUUAGACAUUGUGCACCAAAUUCAACCCUCAAAGGACGCAAGUGGGGAUCAGAGUUUCAUUGUCCUACAUGCAGUAUGCACCCACAGGAAGACACAAUCCCUGCCUUGAGGAGCUUACAAUCUACUUUGAAACAAGAUGCAACUUCAUAAGAAUAAAUCGACAUGCUUUCUAUUGAAUGAUUAACUACUUUGCUGUAGAUGCUCAUGUAUGCGUCAGGCAGGGCUGCCGGGGCGGGGGGGGGGGGGAAGCAAGUGGGGCAAUUUGCCUCAGGCCCAGGGCCCCGCAGCGGCCCCCAUGAGAAUAUAUUAUUCUAGAGUACUGCAACUUUUUUUUAUGGAAGGGGCCCCCAAAAUUGCUUUGCCCCAGGCCCCCUGAAUCCUCUGGGCAGCCCUGGCAUCAGGCACAACGUUUCUCCAGCUGUGCUCACCUGGACCAAGUACCGAGUGGUCACCCUUGCCGUGCAAACAUUCUAUUGGAACUCUGGCACAUUUAAGGAAUACUGCCAUGCUCCAGUGCAGCAGAGAAGAGACUGUGGAAGCCAGCAGCAAAGGCCUCAAAUUAAAAUGACUUUCUAUGGGCCAUAUCUUGCAGCUAGAUCCCUGUGGGUGGACCCCUACACUCACAAAGACCCAAUUGCCAGAUAUGGUCCUAGUUAAAUAUGUUCAUUCAGAUUUCAAACAGACCACCUGGUAGACUGAAUCUGGCACUCAUCCCAGGGUAAAAUGAACAAUUCAAAUCACCAAGCAGGACAACCCCAAAAUACUCUCCAGUGAAGUUUAUUCCUGCUACAGGAGUAUCAGGCUACCCAUUAAUCUCUGUAAUAAGUGUUAUAGUGGUGUCUAUUCUUGGUGGUUGGUCUGACUGAGCCAGAGGCAAGGGGGAUCUGUUUAGCUUUCAAUUUUUAAAGGAUUUGUCUUCACUAGAAAGUUGUAGUCCUUUAACUAUACUGGUGUAUUAAAGCAGUACACACAAUCCUAGUAUGGAUGCAGUUGUAUCAGUAUAAAGCUAGAAUAAAAGGGAAAUAAGUCAUACUGGUAUAUGGCUCCCUUAUAUUGGUAUAAUUGUGUCCACACUACGGGUUGCACUGGUAUAACCAUAAAGGUAAAGAAACACACCCCUAACCUAAAUAGUUGUACCAUCCCAAAAACUCUUUCCUUAUGAUAUUGCUAAUAGCUUGUUUUCAAGGUAAUACAUGGAUAGCAAGUUGCACCUGCUUCAUGUGUUAGUUCCUUGCAUUACACAGGUGCCACUGGAAUACAUGGUACCAGCUAAAGCAAAAAUCACAGACCAUAUGGGGCAUAACACAUCUGUAGAUUACAUCUGCUGCCACAGCUGGCAUUUCAGAAGACCCUACUCCCUCACAGGCACCUCAGAGGACCCCAACAGCCCCAGCCAUUCUUGUGGCAAUGUGAGAGUACGCAGAUGCUGCAUUGCUGCCAUUUAAGUCUCCAGACAGACACGUGAGAGGGACAGGACAAGUCGGUAUAAUAAUAACCUGGAAGGGAAGAAACAGAAGGAGAAGAUGGGAGCAGAACAGGGAGUGGAAGAGGGAAUUGGAACCAUGUAUCAUACCAUUAACAGGCACAUUUUCAACUGUGAGGCUAACACAUCACAUGGGGGGCUGGUGACUUGAUCUUUGCUUCCAUGGUUUGAUGACAGCCGAACCACUCCAUGGGAUUACGGCCCCAUACUGUAAUUCACAGAUUUCUUUUGUUCUGUAUAUGAUUCAGAUAGAACCAGGUUGCAUGCCAAGGUGAUGAAACUCCAGCCCACUCCCACAACGCUGGACAGAUGCACUUUGCUGGUCUGCUGACGACACCCUAAAAAACAUGGAUUGCCUCCUUGGUGUAGUAUAUCUGCUGAAGGAAGUGAUCCAGUCUCAUCUACAAGUUGUCAUCGGAAUCUGUCUGGUAGCAUUUAGCUGCAGUCUUGGCUUUCUUGUGUCAGGUUGGGGUGUUUCCUACAUCAAAGUGGAAGUAAGAAUGCUGCCCACAACUCACAGACAAAUUGAGGAGCUCAGAACAGACACAAAGUUAAGCUUAAAUUUGGUGCUUUGUCUUCACAUAUUACAUUUUGCAGCUCCCAAGGGUCUUCAUGGAAUCCAGUCAUAUAUUAGGUAUAGUACAGAGAGGCGGUCUCUUACUCCUUUCGACUCCAAUGGCACUUUAUUCUUGGGGAGAGGGUAAUAUUUUAAUAUUGGGUUUUGUUGCAAAUUUAAUCACUCUUAGCUUCUAAAGAGCCAAGUUUGAAGGCGACAGUUAAUUAUGAGGAGCUGAUUACCAGUCAGGGCAAAGAAAUAACAGAAUUUGAAAACAGGAUCUUGGAAAGACUAGAAAAAUGGUCUGGAAACAAAACAAGACUCAACCUGGAAAAAUAAGCCAAACUUAUGCCUUUGGGUACAAUUAUCCGAAAUACACAACAGCAAUGGGAGAGAGUAAAGAGAUGAGCAACAAAAGUGGUUAAGGAGUUGAUUUACAAGGUGAGAUGAAAACAAUUAAAUAGUAUGUCCAAUUUGGCUAAGAAACUGCAAGAGGAAGGGAAGACAUAAGAGUCUACAAAUAUUUGAAGGGUGUAUACAUCAAAGAGAGAACAGGAUUAUUUAGCAUAUUCAAAAGAGUAAGUAAUGCAUAAAGUAAAUAACAAGUAGGAGUAAUGGUAUGACAUUUUAUAAGUGGAAACUUAGGCAGAAGAGCAGGAAAAGCUUCCUGACAGAGAUGUAUUAGCAUCUGGAAUCAUCCCCCAAAGGAAGUCCUGGAAGCCUCAUCACUUGGCACAUAUAAGCUGGACUGGAUAAAACUGCAAGUACUGGAAGUGCCUGAUCCAAAGCCACUGAAGUCAAUGGAAAGUCUCCCCAUUGAGUUCUAUGGGGUUUGGAUCAGACCCUAAAUAUCAAGCAGGGAACAAUCCUGCAAUGGAGAGAUGAACUGUCAGUAAGUGACUUUACAAAAAGGAUCCAGGGUGGUAGUAGCCUGCACCAAAUAAAAAGGAAAACAAGUGCAAAAUUAAGAAGAAAAUAAGGCAUCCUGCUGCUUUAAAGCAACACGGCUGUCUGUGAAGAGCUGCUCUGCUUGGGCCAACAGAGAAAGAGAGAGAGAGAGUCAGGAGGGUUGAGGUUUUCAUUAGCCCCUGGGAGAAUCAUGGGAGAAUCAAUUGCCAAACAAAGACAACUUCACUUUACCCAGGGCAGGAUAUGUGUGGGGGUGAGAGAGAGAGAGAGAGAGAGAAUGUGUGUGAGAGAGAAUGUGCACUGUAUUUUUAAAUGUGCAAGAAGCCGAGCUGGAGAAGGCUGGAGCCAAGCAGAGGGCAAGGCAGAAUAGCUACACAGUUAAUACUGUUUUCCUUAUUCUAAUAAAGUUCCUUGUUCAGUUUUAGAAGUAACCAACACACUGUGAUUUUUGUUCACCAUAAAAAUGGACAGUGCACUGCUUCCUUCCCAAGAGCUCCCUAGUCUACCACCCAUUUCUAUUAAUACCCUUUCUUGGGCUGAGCAGUGUGAGACAGACCUUCUGCCUGGUUUUCAUUGCAUGCAAUUAACCCCCUCCCUGCCUAUCUGUGUGAGGUAUAUACACUCCAUCACCACUGUUGAAUAGGGAUAUUCUGUCUCCAGAUUCUAUGGGCCAAAAUCUGUUAUCAGCUGCACCGGUGUGAAUGUGGAAUCGUUCCACUGACUGUAUAAGAGAACUGAAUUUGCGUCUAUGAUUCUGUGAAACUUUCCUCUCUGACAAAUAAAUAUUUAAAUUAUAUUUUUAAUUAAAAAAAAAUUAUCAGUUGAAAGUGUGUGUGUGUGUGUGUGUGUGAGUACCCCUUCCCAUACAUCCACAAAUUUCUGCAAGUAAUCAUGGAAUUUGCCUUCCAUCAGUCAUCAUUCUGCUUGUAUGCAUACUGUAUCCCUUUACUCUUACCUUUUGUCUGUACUGUCUGUUUAGAUUGUAAACUCUUUGGGGGAAAGGACAUUCAGUCUAAUAAACCCAUAUAAAACAAUUUAAAAUGAAGUUAAGGCUGACAGUAUAUUUUAGUAAUUUAAAGGCAAAAAACAUUAUGGGGAUGUUGCAAUUAUUCCCAAACCAAACAUUACAAGCCUAGGAAAUUCAGAGUUAAAGUUACACUUAAAAAAAAUCCGAAGAGGCUAAGGUACAGAAAUGCAUAGCCAAGGUACACAAACAAUCUUAACUCUGCCCUGCAGUGACACACAACCACACCAUUGUGAUCAGGAGUGAAAGUGAGCCGGUACGGGCCGGUACUCCGUACUGGUAAGAACCCGCACCGGUCCAUACCCAGCCCGUAUUAAAGUGCUGCCGCGGCAGUGCUUUAAUGUCCCUGCCCCUUUUGCCUCCCCUGUCGGGGGCCCUGCCGGUAGGGUCCAUACCGGCAGGGCUGCCAAUGGGGGGUGGGGGGAGGGAGCCGCAGCAACGUUAAAGCGCUGCUGUGGCAAAGGACCCUGCAGCACU
Long non-coding RNA from Trachemys scripta elegans, 8152 nucleotides. RefSeq lists it as uncharacterized. The transcript is spliced from 4 exons. NCBI's taxonomy places the organism in Eukaryota, Metazoa, Chordata, Testudines, Emydidae. The record is from RefSeq and is a predicted model, not a curated record.